This 922-nucleotide long non-coding RNA is filed under the name Gopherus agassizii (Agassiz's desert tortoise). Its description in RNAcentral is "lncRNA (ENSGAGG00000003867.1)". The record is from RNAcentral. Lineage: Eukaryota; Metazoa; Chordata; Testudines; Testudinidae.
GGCACUAGACAGCGAGGGCCCAACCCCCGUUUACACGGCCCGAGGACAGAAACAGGGCCGAUCCGCCGCAGCGCAGGUAAGGGGCGGAGCCAGAGGGGCAAAUCCGCCCGGCCCCGCAGCCUUACCGCUCAUAACGCGGCCGGGGCUCCGUGCCCAGCCCUGCUGCCCGGGCCGCGGCCUCCCAGGGCCUCCAUCGCUGACGCCUGGGCUAAACUGGGGGCGGGGGAAGAAGCAGCAGCAACUACCGGCGGUGGGAAGAGGAGGAGCUGGAGGAAGGCCCGGAGCGGUUUUUCAGCAUCAUGUAAUUAAGUUCUGCAUAAAGCUGACGAGCACAUAAGGAAACCUAUAUCUGAUAAAAGUAUCACAUGAAAUGGAUGAAUUUGGAGGAACAUCUGGACAUGCAAGGAUAAGAUUAUGUAUAAACCAUCAGACUUUGGAUGUAUCUUGGUUAAAUUCUAGCCUACAAGAGACAUUAUUACCAGGAAAACCAUGGAAUAAGGUUUUAGACAAACUUGGAGCUGCUCUUGCUGAUGACAUGAAGCACCAACUAAGAAAUCCUAAACAAUGACAAAUGAUUUUCUGUCUUCUUGGCCAGCAUUUUGUUAAAAAAUAUUUUAAUGAGUGUCCUAAUCAACCUAGUCUACUAGUUAGUGAGUUAUGGGAGCUUUGAGCCUACAGCAGCAUAAUGUGAACAUGUACAGAUCUGUUUUUGUCAUAAAAGUAAAGUGGGUUAUUUUGUUCUCAGUUAUAAAUUGUAUUUUAAAUUUUUUCAGUAUACUUAAUUGAUCUGAAAUAAGAUUAAAAUGUUAUAUUUAAAAUGUUACCUUGUAUCUAACAGGCUUUCAAGUAUUUUUUCCUCCUCUCAGGAAACUUGAAAAGAAAACAAGAUAAUGGGUAUAUAUGAGGGUUUUCUCAAUUGGAG